CGAGUUGGCCGGGCGGCCGCGAGGGUGCACAGCCUUCGAGGAAAGUCCGGACUCCACAGGGCAGGGUGGUUGUCAACGGCAACCCGGGGCGACCCGCGGGACAGUGCCACAGAAAACAGACCGCCCCGGCUUCCGGCCGGGGUAAGGGUGAAACGGUGGUGUAAGAGACCACCAGCAUCCCGGGUGACCGGGAUGGCUCGGUAAACCCCACCCGGAGCAAGGCCAAGAGGACACCCCAGGGUGUCUGCGCAGGCGAUCGAGGGCGGCCCGCCCGAUGCCUGCGGGUAGGCUGCUCGAGCCUGCCGGCGACGGCAGGCCUAGAUGGAUGGUCGCCACCGCGACGCCGAGAGGUGGCGCGGUACAGAAUCCGGCUUACACGCCAACUCGUCCG
Molecule: RNase P RNA, 391 nt
Filed under: Amycolatopsis rhizosphaerae
Lineage: Bacteria; Bacillati; Actinomycetota; Actinomycetes; Pseudonocardiales; Pseudonocardiaceae
Description: Bacterial RNase P class A
Rfam family: Bacterial RNase P class A
About the family: Ribonuclease P (RNase P) is a ubiquitous endoribonuclease, found in archaea, bacteria and eukarya as well as chloroplasts and mitochondria.
Source: Rfam by way of RNAcentral